Molecule: ribosomal RNA, 246 nt
Filed under: uncultured bacterium
Lineage: Bacteria
Description: partial 16S ribosomal RNA
Rfam family: Bacterial small subunit ribosomal RNA
Source: RNAcentral
GGAGGAUCCGAGCGUUAUCCGGAUUUAUUGGGUUUAAAGGGAGCGUAGAUGGGUUGUUAAGUCAGUUGUGAAAGUUUGCGGCUCAACCGUAAAAUUGCAAUUGAUACUGGCGUCCUUGAGUACAGUUGAGGUGGGCGGAAUUCGUGGUGUAGCGGUGAAAUGCUUAGAUAUCACGAAGAACUCCUAUUGCGAAGGCAGCUCACUAAACUGCAACUGACAUUGAGGCUCGAAAGUGUGGGUAUCAAA